GAUGAACGCUGGCGGCGUGCCUAAUACAUGCAAGUCGAGCGAACAGAUAAGGAGCUUGCUCCUUUGACGUUAGCGGCGGACGGGUGAGUAACACGUGGGUAACCUACCUAUAAGACUGGAAUAACUCCGGGAAACCGGGGCUAAUGCCGGAUAACAUUUAGAACCGCAUGGUUCUAAAGUGAAAGAUGGUUUUGCUAUCACUUAUAGAUGGACCCGCGCCGUAUUAGCUAGUUGGUAAGGUAACGGCUUACCAAGGCAACGAUGCGUAGCCGACCUGAGAGGGUGAUCGGCCACACUGGAACUGAGACACGGUCCAGACUCCUACGGGAGGCAGCAGUAGGGAAUCUUCCGCAAUGGGCGAAAGCCUGACGGGGCAACGCCGCGUGAGUGAUGAAGGUCUUCGGAUCGUAAAACUCUGUUAUUAGGGAAGAACAAAUGUGUAAGUAACUGUGCACGUCUUGACGGUACCUAAUCAGAAAGCCACGGCUAACUACGUG
Molecule: ribosomal RNA, 497 nt
Filed under: uncultured bacterium
Lineage: Bacteria
Description: partial 16S ribosomal RNA
Rfam family: Bacterial small subunit ribosomal RNA
Source: RNAcentral